Molecule: ribosomal RNA, 255 nt
Filed under: uncultured bacterium
Lineage: Bacteria
Description: partial 16S ribosomal RNA
Rfam family: Bacterial small subunit ribosomal RNA
Source: RNAcentral
UACAGGGGGUGCAAACGUUGCUCGGAAUUAUUGGGCGUAAAGAGCUCGUAGGCGGUCUGUCGCGUCUGCUGUGAAAACUCAGGGCUUAACCCUGAGCUUGCAGUGGGUACGGGCAGACUAGAGUGCGGUAGGGGAGACUGGAAUUCCUGGUGUAGCGGUGAAAUGCGCAGAUAUCAGGAGGAACACCGGUGGCGAAGGCAGCUCGCUGGGACGUUACUGACGCUGGAGAACGCGAAAGCGUGGGGAGCAAACAGG